RNAcentral lists this transfer RNA (72 nucleotides) under Desulfobacterales bacterium. RNAcentral describes it as "tRNA-Trp". It matches the Rfam family "tRNA". Rfam says of the family: Transfer RNA (tRNA) molecules are approximately 80 nucleotides in length. Their secondary structure includes four short double-helical elements and three loops (D, anti-codon, and T loops). Further hydrogen bonds mediate the characteristic L-shaped molecular structure. tRNAs have two regions of fundamental functional importance: the anti-codon, which is responsible for specific mRNA codon recognition, and the 3' end, to which the tRNAs corresponding amino acid is attached (by aminoacyl-tRNA synthetases). tRNAs cope with the degeneracy of the genetic code in two manners: having more than one tRNA (with a specific anti-codon) for a particular amino acid; and 'wobble' base-pairing, i.e. permitting non-standard base-pairing at the 3rd anti-codon position. RNAcentral also lists the same sequence under 1 other name. The record is from RNAcentral. Lineage: Bacteria; Pseudomonadati; Thermodesulfobacteriota; Desulfobacteria; Desulfobacterales.
GCGCCGGUAAGCUAAUUGGUAAACUACCGCGCUCCAAACGCGGCGUUGCAGGUUCGAAUCCUGCCCGGCGUG